AUGGAUGCAUGUGAUUGUAUCGAACCACUUUGGCAGGCCGAUGAUCUCCUUGUGAAGUAUCAGUACAUAUCUGACUUUUUUAUCGCACUUGCAUACUUCUCGAUCCCUUUGGAGCUCAUAUACUUUGUCAAGAAGUCAUCAUUCUUCCCUUACCGAUGGGUGCUCAUACAGUUUGGCGCCUUCAUUGUGCUUUGUGGGGCAACUCACCUGAUAAACUUGUGGACUUUCGCCACUUAUAGCAAGACUAUAGCGGUGGUAAUGACAGUGGCGAAAGCUGCGACAGCAGUGGUUUCAUGCAUAACGGCAUUGAUGCUUGUGCACAUAAUUCCUGAUCUGUUGAGUGUGAAGUUGCGAGAGAGGUAUCUGAAGGAUAAGGCUGAAGAGCUUGACAAAGAGAUGGGGAUUAUAAGAACACAGGAGGAGACAGGCAGACAUGUCCACAUGCUCACACAUGAGAUAAGGAGCACCCUUGACAGGCACACUAUUUUGAGAACUACGCUUGUUGAGUUGGGAAGGACUCUUGGGUUAGCUGAAUGUGCCCUGUGGAUGCCAUCCCGCUCUGGAACAGCCCUUCACCUGUCCCAUACAAUCCAUAACAGCGCUCCUAUUGGCUUAGUUGUUCCUAUCAAUCUUCCAGUUGUUUCAAAGGUUUUUAAUAGUAAUCGUGCAGAAAGCAUUCCACAUACUUCCCCAUUGGCUUCAAUAAAGGCAGACACAAGCAGGUAUGUGCCACCAGAGGUCGUAGCUGUCCGAGUUCCACUGCUGCACCUUACAAAUUUCGAAAUAAAUGAUUGGCCUGAGCUAUCUGCAAAAAGCUUCGCAGUAAUGGUUUUGAUGCUGCCUCCAGACAGUGCAAGAAAAUGGCGUACCCAUGAAUUGGAGCUUGUUGAAGUUGUUGCUGAUCAGGUGGCAGUUGCACUGUCUCAUGCUGCCAUUUUGGAAGAGUCCAUGAGGGCCCGUGAUCUACUAAUGGAGCAGAAUAUUGCCCUAGAUGCAGCACGUCGAGAGGCGGAAAUGGCUAUAUGUGCUCGUAAUGAUUUUCUUGCUGUGAUGAACCAUGAAAUGCGUACUCCUAUGAAAGCCAUUGUUUCUUUAUCCUCCCUCCUUCUGGAAACAACUCUUACGGCUGAACAACGCCUGAUGAUUGAGACUAUACUAAAGAGUAGCGAUUUUCUUGUAACUUUGACCAACGAUGUUUUGGAUAUUUCCAAGCUUGGGAAUGGGAGUCUUGAGCUGGAUAUUGCACCUUUCAACCUGCAUGCUGCCUUUACAGAUGUGGUUAAUUUGAUUAAGCCAGUGGCUGCAUGCAAAAGGCUCUCGGUAAUGGUUUCCUUGGCUCCAGAGUUGCCUUCCUGUGCAAUUGGUGAUCGCAAGCGAUUGAUGCAGAUAAUGCUAAAUGUUGCUGGCAACUCCAUUAAGUUCACAAAGGAGGGUCACAUUUCAAUUGCAGCUUCCAUAGCCAGGCCAGAUUCACUGAGGGACCCGUAUGCUUCUAACUUACAUCCAGUUCCCUCUGAUGGGUCUUUCUACUUGGUUGUUCAGGUAAAAGACACCGGCUGUGGAAUUGGACCAGAGGAUAUGGCUCACACCUUCAGAAAAUUCGCACACGGUGAGAAUGCAACAACGAAAUUGCACAACGGCAACGGCUUGGGUCUGGCCCUCUCCAGAAGAUUUGUUGGCCUGAUGCAAGGGGACAUCUGGCUCGAAAGUGAAGGUGUAGGGAAGGGAUGUACCGCCACGUUCUUUGUGAAACUCGGCACGCCCAAGAAGAAACCAAACGCAAACGCAAAUCCCCGGAGAAUGAUGGCGCCUCUGCAACCAAGCAACGGAGCUGGAGGCCACGGCGCUGAUGCUCUCAGUAUAUCGAUAAUGGACGGCGAUGCGCGGGCUCCUAGGGCCCGCUACCAGUCAAUUGCGUGA
This 1920-nucleotide ribosomal RNA is filed under the name Triticum aestivum (bread wheat). RNAcentral describes it as "partial small subunit ribosomal RNA". Lineage: Eukaryota; Viridiplantae; Streptophyta; Magnoliopsida; Poales; Poaceae. The record is from RNAcentral.